This 180-nucleotide unclassified non-coding RNA is filed under the name Thalassobacter stenotrophicus DSM 16310. Its description in RNAcentral is "caulobacter sRNA CC2171". The record is from RNAcentral. Lineage: Bacteria; Pseudomonadati; Pseudomonadota; Alphaproteobacteria; Rhodobacterales; Roseobacteraceae.
AAUUUAUCGAAAGGAGGUGAUCCAGUGUCUAAGAAGGUGUUGGAGAAUGCGGUCGGGACAACUUUGGAGGGUCUCAUCUAAGGCAGUCCUUGGAUGACUGAAACUCCGAGGUGGAGCCUGCUCUAACCGGCCCCCUCCUGAACUUCACGGAAACGCCGCACCCAUUGCCGGGGGCGGCGU